CGUUCCCGGACCUUGUACACACCGCCCGUCAAGCCAUGGAAGCUGGGAGGACCUGAAGGCAGUUGCUGCAAGGCGCUGUUUAAGGGUAAAACCGGUGACGUGGGCUAAGUCGUAACAACGGUACC
This 125-nucleotide ribosomal RNA is filed under the name uncultured bacterium. Its description in RNAcentral is "partial 16S ribosomal RNA". It matches the Rfam family "Bacterial small subunit ribosomal RNA", at positions 1369 to 1500 of the family's 1533-position model. The record is from RNAcentral.